GAUGAACGCUGGCGGCGUGCCUAAUACAUGCAAGUCGAGCGAACAGACGAGGAUCUUGCUCCUCUGACGUUAGCGGCGGACGGGUGAGUAACACGUGGAUAACCUACCUAUAAGACUGGGAUAACUUCGGGAAACCGGAGCUAAUACCGGAUAACAUGUUGAGCCGCAGGGUUCAACAGUGAAAGACGGUCUUGCUGUCACUUAUAGAUGGAUCCGCGCCGCAUUAGCUAGUUGGUAAGGUAACGGCUUACCAAGGCAACGAUGCGUAGCCGACCUGAGAGGGUGAUAGGCCACACUGGAACUGAGACACGGUCCAGAGUCCUACGGGAGGCAGCAGUAGCGAAUGUUCCGCAAUGGGCGGAAGCAUGACGGAGCAACGCCGCGUGAGUGGAGAAGGUCUUCGGAUCGUAAAACUCUGUUAUUAGGGAAGAACAAAUGUGUAAGUAAAUAUGCACGUCUUGACGGUACCUAAUCAGAAAGCCACGGCUAACUACGUG
This 497-nucleotide ribosomal RNA is filed under the name uncultured bacterium. RNAcentral describes it as "partial 16S ribosomal RNA". It matches the Rfam family "Bacterial small subunit ribosomal RNA", at positions 28 to 507 of the family's 1533-position model. The record is from RNAcentral.